GCGUCGGCCGAGUUCGGAGCGAGAGUCAAGGACGCGCUAAGCAUGUAGAGUCGGGGAUGGAGGACUUCCGGACGCGGGUUCGAUUCCCGCCGCCUCCACCA
RNAcentral lists this transfer RNA (101 nucleotides) under Lysobacterales bacterium. RNAcentral's name for it is "Xanthomonadales bacterium tRNA-Tyr". It matches the Rfam family "transfer-messenger RNA", at positions 272 to 374 of the family's 374-position model. Rfam says of the family: Bacterial tmRNA, also known as 10Sa RNA or SsrA, is named for its dual tRNA and mRNA-like properties. The record is from RNAcentral. Lineage: Bacteria; Pseudomonadati; Pseudomonadota; Gammaproteobacteria; Lysobacterales.